This is a non-coding RNA of Pelobates cultripes (western spadefoot toad), 1104 nucleotides long. The record is from the annotation of a GenBank genome assembly. Lineage: Eukaryota; Metazoa; Chordata; Amphibia; Anura; Pelobatidae.
AGGAUUUCUAAAUAAGACAAUAAACAGGACUAUGAAUUUUUCAGUUUGCCGCUUUUCAAAUCUCCAUUUCUUGAAACAGAUCUGAACCUGGAGAAAUACUAGUGGAUGGGGAUUUUUGUCAGAAACAGGCAAAACAUGCAGUUAGCUACAAAUAUUUAAAGGGAUACUCUAAGCACCAAAACAACUAUAGCUUACCUAGCCACAUCUACCCUGACUGUGACUCACACAGGAUCUAAGAAAAAAAAGGUUUAUUAAAAAAGAUAUUACAGCAGUGUAUGUAAUUUACAAAUUCUUACCACAUGCUCUGCUGAUUUAAUUUUAACCACACUAGUGGGUGUUGCAGGUUUUAGUGGACAAAAACUUCUAAUGUAAAACACACUAUGCAAUAGGGGAAGCUUAAAAGGUUGCGCUCUUUUUCAGGAAAUGUGUAGGAAGGCUAUGUGAGUCACAACCAGGAGAGGUGUGGCUAGAGCUGCAUAAACAAAGUGAUUCAUCUUCUAAAUGGCAGAGAAUUGAGCAGUUAGACUGCAGGACACAAUCUAUCCACAAAAGUCACCUCUGCUAAAGUUAUUUUGGUGCUUAGUGACCCUUUAAUUUUGACGAUAAGUAAAAUCCCCUUAUGACAUAAACCGUAAGGCAGGAGGUUCUUGUGUUUCACUAAAUCUGUACUCCCUCAGAUGAUGUCAUGCAUAUAUCCCAAUGAGAUGAAUCCAGAAUCCCGUAGGAUAAUGGGUAAGACCAUAGCCAAUAUAAGCAGUGGUAAGUUUUGUAUUUGUGCUAUAAUUUUAAAAGUUGUUCCACGCCACCUAUGGCUAUUUCUUCCAAAUUUGCCACCCAAUAUUUAGAUAAAGUACUCAUAUGAAUGCACUGAUUGUUACCCUUAUUGUAUUAACAAGUAAUGGAACCCAGAAGGAUUAUGCAGAUUAAGGGAGAAAAGAUAUGUACAUAUUUCUAGACACAAAUGUAGUCAUAUUUAUUGUGCCUGCAUUUUGCAUCUAUGGAGAAUCAGUUGGAUCUAAAGUCAAGCACACAGGGCAGGAGCAAAGAUGUUGAAAGUUCUCCCCACCUCUGGGCUGUAAACGGGUUGUUCAUGUGGUCUCACUC